Molecule: ribosomal RNA, 459 nt
Filed under: uncultured bacterium
Lineage: Bacteria
Description: partial 16S ribosomal RNA
Rfam family: Bacterial small subunit ribosomal RNA
Source: RNAcentral
CCUACGGGUGGCAGCAGUGAGGAAUAUUGGUCAAUGGCCGAGAGGCUGAACCAGCCAAGUCGCGUGAGGGAAGACGGCCCUACGGGUUGUAAACCUCUUUUGUCGGGGAGCAAAGCGAGUCACGUGUGACUCAUUGAGAGUACCCGAACAAAAAGCAUCGGCUAACUCCGCGCCAGCAGCCGCGGUAAUACGGAGGAUGCGAGCGUUAUCCGGAUUUAUUGGGUUUAAUGGGUGCGCAGGCGGAGGGGCAAGUCAGCGGUAAAAUUGUGGGGCUCAACACCGUACUGCCGUUGAAACUGCAUCUCUGGAGUGCGAGAGAAGUACGCGGAAGGCGUGGUGUAGCGGUGAAAUGCGUAGAGAUCACGCAGAACCCCGAUUGCGAAGGCAGCCUGCCAAGACAUGACUGACGCUGAUGCACGAAAGCGUGGGGAUCAAACAGGAUUAGAUACCCUAGUAGUC